Macaca fascicularis (crab-eating macaque) is the source of this 154-nucleotide unclassified non-coding RNA. It matches the Rfam family "Metazoan signal recognition particle RNA". Rfam says of the family: The signal recognition particle (SRP) is a universally conserved ribonucleoprotein. It is involved in the co-translational targeting of proteins to membranes. The record is from Ensembl. Lineage: Eukaryota; Metazoa; Chordata; Mammalia; Primates; Cercopithecidae.
GCUGGGCAUGGUGGUGCAUGCCUGUAGUCCCAGCUACUUGGAGGCUGAGGCAAGAGAAUUGCUUGAACCCAGGAGGCAGAGGUUGCAGUGAACCGAGAUCAUGCCACUGCACUUCAGCCUUCAGCCUGGGCAACAGAGCAAGAAUCUGUCUCAA